Molecule: ribosomal RNA, 429 nt
Filed under: uncultured bacterium
Lineage: Bacteria
Description: bacterial SSU rRNA
Rfam family: Bacterial small subunit ribosomal RNA
Source: RNAcentral
UGGGGAAUUUUGGACAAUGGGGGCAACCCUGAUCCAGCCAUGCCGCGUGAGUGAAGAAGGCCUUCGGGUUGUAAAGCUCUUUCGCGAGGGAAGAAAAUGCAAUGGCUAAUACCUAUUGUAUAUGACGGUACCUUGAUAAGAAGCACCGGCUAACUACGUGCCAGCAGCCGCGGUAAUACGUAGGGUGCGAGCGUUAAUCGGAAUUACUGGGCGUAAAGCGUGCGCAGGCGGUUUUGUAAGACAGGCGUGAAAGCCCCGGGCUCAACCUGGGAAUGGCGCUUGUGACUGCAAGGCUAGAGUAUGGCAGAGGGGGGUAGAAUUCCACGUGUAGCAGUGAAAUGCGUAGAGAUGUGGAGGAAUACCGAUGGCGAAGGCAGCCCCCUGGGCCAAUACUGACGCUCAUGCACGAAAGCGUGGGGAGCAAACAGG